GAUGAACGCUGGCGGCGUGCCUAAUACAUGCAAGUCGAGCGAACAGACGAGGAGCUUGCUCCUCUGACGUUAGCGGCGGACGGGUGAGUAACACGUGGAUAACCUACCUAUAAGACUGGGAUAACUUCGGGAAACCGGAGCUAAUACCGGAUAAUAUCUUGAACCGCAUGGUUCAAUAGUGAAAGACGGUUUUGCUGUCACUUAUAGAUGGAUCCGCGCCGCAUUAGCUAGUUGGUAAGGUAACGGCUUACCAAGGCAACGAUGCGUAGCCGACCUGAGAGAGUGAUAGGCCACACUGGAACUGGGACGCGGUCCAGACUCCUACGGGAGGCAGCAGUAGGGAAUCUUCCGCAAUGGGCGAAAGCUUGACGGAGCAACGCCGCGUGAGUGAUGAAGGUCUUCGGUUCGUAAAACUCUGUUAUGAGGGAAGAACAAAUGUGUAAGUAACUAUGCACGUCUUGACGGUACCUAAUCAGAAAGCCACGGCUAACUACGUG
This 497-nucleotide ribosomal RNA is filed under the name uncultured bacterium. RNAcentral describes it as "partial 16S ribosomal RNA". It matches the Rfam family "Bacterial small subunit ribosomal RNA", at positions 28 to 507 of the family's 1533-position model. The record is from RNAcentral.